This 270-nucleotide ribosomal RNA is filed under the name uncultured archaeon. RNAcentral's name for it is "partial 16S ribosomal RNA". It matches the Rfam family "Archaeal small subunit ribosomal RNA", at positions 477 to 747 of the family's 1478-position model. The record is from RNAcentral.
CAGCACCUCAAGUGGUCAGGAUGAUUAUUGGGCCUAAAGCAUCCGUAGCCGGCUCUGUAAGUUUUCGGUUAAAUCUGUACGCUCAACGUACAGGCUGCCGGGAAUACUGCAGAGCUAGGGAGUGGGAGAGGUAGACGGUACUCGGUAGGAAGGGGUAAAAUCCUUUGAUCUAUUGAUGACCACCUGUGGCGAAGGCGGUCUACCAGAACACGUCCGACUGUGAGGGAUGAAAGCUGGGGGAGCAAACCGGAUUAGAUACCCGAGUAGUCC